Molecule: unclassified non-coding RNA, 193 nt
Filed under: uncultured fungus
Lineage: Eukaryota; Fungi
Description: sequence contains ITS1
Source: RNAcentral
UUAACUAUUAGAUAGUACUCAGACGACACUAACAUUCAGAGUUUGGGGUCCUCUGACACGCGCGAGCCAGCCGAAGCCAGUGCCCGAAGGCGGCGUGCCAAAGCAACAAAGAUAUAAUACACAAGGGUGAGGUUUGCUACCCGUGAGGGCAGCGAACACUGUAAUGAUCCUUCCGCAGGUUCACCUACGGAAA